GCCGAUUUAGCUCAGUUGGUAGAGCACAUCAUUCGUAAUGAUGGGGUCGCAAGUUCGAAUCUUGCAAUCGGCACCA
This 76-nucleotide transfer RNA is filed under the name Lysobacterales bacterium. RNAcentral describes it as "tRNA-Thr". It matches the Rfam family "tRNA". Rfam says of the family: Transfer RNA (tRNA) molecules are approximately 80 nucleotides in length. Their secondary structure includes four short double-helical elements and three loops (D, anti-codon, and T loops). Lineage: Bacteria; Pseudomonadati; Pseudomonadota; Gammaproteobacteria; Lysobacterales. The record is from RNAcentral.